AGUGCAGGUGCACCUAUUGGUGGAUUUCAUCACAAGGACACCAGGUGGCUGACAAAGGUGUCUUCUAGCAAUCAGGGUAGCAUCUGGCAGAUUGUAUGAUACGUCACGCUGGAGUGCAGCUCCUGCAUAUUUAAGAGGCAAGCUGUGCUGUCAGUAUGGGAAAAUUACUGUUUUCAAGAGGUAUUACUGUCCUGCACUGCCACCUCACCAACAGCCUCAUGGAAUGGGCUCCACAGGGAACACGAGCACUGAGCUCUGCUUGUCCUUGCUGUGAGCUUCAGUGUCCUGAGAUAGACCCCCAGGAGGAGUUCCCCUGAGGAAGAUAUGUUGGAGUAAUGCUGGUACCAUGAGGAGCAAAGGGCAGCAUCUUCUCAUCUGGGAAGAGGCAUGAAUCCAGAUUAGCAGCAGUCCCUGGAGAUGUGCAUUAAUUAACACUACCAGCGUUUGCCAUCAACUCUGUGGUUAGAGAUGAGCAUCAAGGAAGGAUGGAUAUGUCACCUUGAAAACUCAAGUGAGGAAGAAGUUCCACAAUGAAGAUGGUUAUAGUUUCUCAUAAGGCCCUGCAAAACUGGAUUUAAUGGUGCCUUAGAAUACAUGAACUUGGGAACCUUUGGAAAGUGCGUGCUUGGUGGCUCCUUAGUGCCCUCCUCUUUUGGGAUCUGCUCCAAUGAAUCCUUCUCUCACCAUGUUUUCAGGCCAGGUGCUGCAGUGUUAGCAGUGGACCUGAGCACUGCUGCACCCCAAAGCCUGACCAGGAUGAAGCACACGAUAGGGUGUUUAUACCUGCAGCUUACUGUAGGGUUAUUGGACAUAGCUCAUCUCUUUGGGUAUUUAUCAGGCUACUGCAGUGUGGGUGGCUGACCUUGGUGAUAUCAGUGUUUUUCUCAUUCCCACGGGGCUCUGAGGUUUACUCGAUGCUGAUAUCCUUCAUUUGAUUUCAGCCCCGUUGGCUUUCUGUGACACCUAGUCUGCAGAUCUCUACUAGUUCAAAUUUGAGAAAUAAAAUCAGCUCAGCGAAAACAAGGCUCUUUUCCUUAGCUUGCAGCAUCAAUCAAAGCAAACAAGGGGAAAAAAAGUGGAAAUGGAGUGUGACAUCUGGGGAAAAGCUUUCUUUUGAUCUCUCUUGAUAUUGUUGGCUACAGCUAAAGGGGAAAACACAAUUCUUUCUUUACUCUCUGGUAUGUAAAGUAAUUGUUUUGAAUAAAAGCAGAAGUGGGAUGCCUACAUAAAACAGCCUACGCUGGGGAACAAUGCUGUGAUCCUGAUGUGGUACAAACCACAGGAGACAGCUUAUCUGAUGGGAAGACUUAAUUAAUAAGUUAUGUUCAUCCAGACUGAAUAUUAGCUAUAAAUUGUCCAACAAAUCUUAAUUAUGUCAGAGGGGCUGCAAGAUAAGGAAAUGAUUUAAAUAGUGUAGAGACCUCCCAUUGCAUUCCUCCUCCUAUUACAAUACUGUAUGUGCUUGCUAAUUUACCUGUAUAUCAUAUCCAUUGACUAGAUUAAAUAUAAAAGGCUUAAUUUUUACAGUGAUAAUUAUCUCUUCAGUGUUACGCAUGCAGAGGUAAUUAAUAAUUGCAGUCCAGGAGAAAGAUAGCCCUACUGUCUUCUCAGGUUUGAUCUUCUGAUUUGAAGAUCUGAGUGGUUUGUGGCUGUAGAAGAGGUGCAUGAAAACAUCCUAGAUAACAGUACACUUUUUAUAAUAACUACUUUUCCUGUCACUAUGCGAUAGGAACUGUAAUCAGAAGAAGACUUGUCUUGUAAUCAGAAUGAACAGAGAAGAUGUUUUGAUCAUAGGUGAUGUCUAAACUCUCAGUUAUGAAGUUUAGUGACCUACUAAGCACAUUUUUUUUGCUUUUAAGGCCAAACAGCAGCUUUUCCCCCGGACCAAAUGAUGGCUUUGUCAGCCUAACCCAGGGGCUUAGACAAAUAAAAA
Molecule: long non-coding RNA, 1933 nt
Organism: Anas platyrhynchos (mallard)
Lineage: Eukaryota; Metazoa; Chordata; Aves; Anseriformes; Anatidae
Source: RefSeq, a predicted model, not a curated record